GAGCAGGGGCUUCAGCGUCCCUUUGUUUGCGGGAAGAACAUGGCGGAUCGGCUCACGCAGCUGCAGGACGCCGUGAACUCGCUUGCGGAUCAGUUUUGUAAUGCCAUUGGAGUGUUGCAGCAGUGUGGUCCUCCUGCUUCAUUUAGUAAUAUUCAGACAGCAAUUAACAAAGAUCAGCCAGCUAAUCCUACAGAAGAAUACGCCCAGCUUUUUGCAGCGCUGAUUGCACGAACAGCAAAGGACAUUGAUGUUUUGAUAGAUUCUUUACCCAGUGAAGAGUCUACAGCUGCUUUACAGGCUGCUAGCUUGUAUAAGUUGGAAGAAGAAAACCACGAAGCCGCCACCUGUCUGGAGGAUGUGGUUUAUCGAGGGGACAUGCUUCUGGAGAAGAUACAGAGUGCCCUUGCUGAUAUCGCACAGUCACAGCUGAAGACAAGAAGUGGUACCCACAGCCAGUCUCUUCCAGACUCGUAGCACCGGUGCAUGUGUACCAUGUGGCUGAGAAAGAACUGUCAGUGCCAUUAAGGAUUCGGCAUCAGAUUGAGAUGAAAUGGCUUACUGCAAAGAACCACCUUCCUCAGUAUGACCAAGUGAUAACGUACAGCAGCUGUCUGGUAAUCAGGAGGCAACCCUGAGGGUGGAAUCCACCACUAUAGACGGGAUUACAGGCUGAGAAGGGAGACUGGUGAACACUGAUGACAUUACAGAGCAACUCGACAGCCUGGAUUUAUCUUACCGAAAGGUCAGAACCACUGUCAAAGCAACCAUCUCUACCCAAGGAGUGAAGAAGAAAUACAGUGGAUCCAAGGACAGAGCUGCAGAUAAUUAGCAAAGACCCAUAUGGACAAGUGACUGGCGUCAGAGAAUUCAAGCAAGAGGCAUCAAAGACCUGGUCAAAAAGGUCAUAAUUCCGAGCAAGGAAAUUUAACUCCUGUGGAAAAUGGAGUGGACGGCAGAGGCUUCCUCCUAGAGGGACCAGGAAGUCAGAUCAAUUUUGACUCAAGGCUUCCUUGAGCGACGUGCUGACUUCUCUUUUCCUUUACUGAAACCAGGCCUGGCUUCCAGGGGAUGAAAAACAGGUUAACUAGCCUCAACCGCACAGGUCAGAGAACAAAGCCGUAGCCAGUGUUUCUACUAGCAAAUGAGGGCUUAUGAUAUGCCAGGCAGGGCUCUAAAUGUCUCUUGUGUCUCAGCUUACGUAGUUGUCCUAACAGUGCUGUGGAGAAAGCACUGUGAUUACAGUGAUUAAUUUAUAACUAAAAGUGCCACGGUUCUCCAUCAAAGUCCAGAGAACCAAAGACUGGAUGUUAUGCUGCUUUAUGCACCCAGGUCCCACCCCCAGGGCUCUUUUUGGCUUGCCUUUCUCUGGAAGACUCUGUGGGUCUUGAUUUCCUUGAUUCCACUCUCAACCAACCCACUCUCAGUGUUAGAUCCGUCAGCCAGCUGCCCAGGCAGGAAUCUGUAAGUGGCACAAAGCGUGUCCCCAACCCUGGCACAGCUGGAAAUUUGAUGCUGCUAAACCCAGAUUUUUUACGUGCACCUCCUUAUGUAAAUAGGGAAGUUGAAGUUAGGCCAACUGUUAUUUUAAUGCAUUUAAUAAUCCAUUACUUUGAAUAUGAACAUGCCAGAGGCAAAUUUAUUUAUGAUUAAUCAUCCUUUCCUGACUUCUAAGGAAAAGGGAUCCACAUUAACUGGAGGAUCCAUCCAAGAGCCUUUGAUACAUGGGAAGACAGGGGCAAGUAGUAACAAAUGGCUGUUGUGCAAGUUUGGAACAAGGCGCUGGGGCAGAGCAGAAAUGUUUGGUGUAAGACAGAGUUUGGGAGGGGAGGAGAGAGCGCAAGCAGGCAGGGACAGCUCCAGCUUCAGGCUGGGGGGAGAAAGAGUGGUUUCAAGCCAGGUAUAGAGACUGAAAGAAGAGAUAAAGCUAAUAGACUCCUUUCCUCCCUUCCUGUUUUUUUCCUUUGGUGAAAAGCUCUUCACUGUUCUUCAGUGGAAUUUUCAGGGGAAAAAAAUGUACUGGAAUCACUAACAUUAUCGUUACAUGGAGUUCUGUUGGGGGAAGCUUAAAAAAGAGGGUGAGUAUACGGCCGGCAUCAGGGUUAGAGACAGGAAGGAAAAGCAUACAGAUUCAAUUUGCAGAAAAUCAGUUGAUCCCUUAAUCACACGUACACACAAGUUAAGGGAAUGUUUUUAAGAUACUGGUUUGAAGAAUCAUCAAAUGAGUAGCUUAUCUAGAGCCCACAGACACCUGAGCACAACCCUGGCAGUACUUUCUGUGCAUGGCUCUGUAACGCUUUACCUUCCGGACACUGAAUAAUGUCUGAAGGAUGAAGGAUUGUCACGGUGGUACUGCCUGCCGGUUAGUUUGAUGGCACUGUUAUUUCUCCUAAACACUAGUAUGUGUCAUUUUUAGAAUAGUUUAAUGGCAUCCUGUCCUAAAUUUGAUAAAGAGGACUACAAAGCAGAAAAAUAAAUGCUGAUACUUAGAAAAACUAUAAAGUUGUCAACUCAAUAUAACUGAGAGAGGAGAUCUAAGAAUAGAGGAUCCAACAUAAGAAAAUGACAAAAUAAAGUCCCUGGAUGUCAUCCUGUGCCUCAAAACCAGUCAGGAUUGCAGCUGGGAUUGGGGGGUCCAGAGUGGAGGGCUUGAGGGAAAAAUAAAUUCAGUUGAAUAAGCUGAUGUGUCUGGCAUUUGGAAAACAACCAUUGCUACAAGAACAACAAAUUGAUAAAAAAAAAAAAAAAUAAGGAUUAUAACACUGGAAAUUUAAGCACAUGAACAAAUGAGGCAGUGGUUAACUGUGGGGAAAAUAGAAAGAGAAAACCAAAAAAAAAAAACCCACUAUUUAUUUCAAUAGUAAAUAACAAUUGCAUAGUUGUGAUAAUAUUAUUGAUUUAAUCCUCAGAUAUUGUGACCUAACUCUAUGGAAUGAAUGAGACUAGGAAAGGUAGAGUUCCAAUUUUAUCCUCCAUGAAAAGAAGUUAGUAGAUUUCUAAAAUUAGUCAAGAAAUAGCGAUUUAAGCAUUUUAUUUAGAAAUACACCAGAAGAAAUAGGUUAAAAAGGAAAGAGUCACCUCUUAUGACAGGUAUAGGGGAUUGGUGAAGUGGGAACUGCUGUUUCUCAUUAUAAGCCUUUGUUUGUUUGUUUACUAUUUGUUUUAAAUGCACAUGUGUUAUUUCGAUAAGAUUUAAUUAAUUCGUUAAACUUUUUUUUUAGGGGACUGGCUGUAUCAUCUACUAGUUUGCUCCCCUUUGACAUGUAAAUUACAUGGUACUGACAAAUACCUUGAUUGAACAUCUGAA
RNA transcript from Camelus dromedarius (Arabian camel), 3304 nucleotides. It is a transcript of the gene named mediator complex subunit 21, with no coding region annotated. NCBI's taxonomy places the organism in Eukaryota, Metazoa, Chordata, Mammalia, Artiodactyla, Camelidae. The transcript is spliced from 7 exons. The record is from RefSeq and is a predicted model, not a curated record.